RNAcentral lists this ribosomal RNA (380 nucleotides) under Boeckella poopoensis. Its description in RNAcentral is "partial 16S ribosomal RNA". Lineage: Eukaryota; Metazoa; Arthropoda; Copepoda; Calanoida; Centropagidae. The record is from RNAcentral.
UCAAAACAUCACCCAAAGAAUGGGCUUUACCUGCUCAAUGGCAUAAGUUAAAUAGCCAGUUUAUGCUAAGGUAGCAUAAUAAUUUGCUUUAUAAUUGAAAGAUAGAAUGAACGGUAUUUCCAGAGAUACUUAUUUUAAUUAUAAAUCAAAUUUUUUUUAAGUUGAAAAUUUCUUAAUAAUUUUUUUAGACGAUAAGACCCUAUGAAGCUUUAUUAAAAAAAAAUAUUAUAACACUAUAUUUUAAUUUUUUUGGGGCAAAAAAAAACUUUGUUAUUUUUAUUUAGUAAAAUUUUGAUCUUUGUGAAUUUAAAGAAAAAGCUACUCUAGGGAUAACAGCAUAAUUUUUAAAAAAGUUCUUAUUAAAAUAAAAGUUUGUGACC